GCCCUUCGCAAAUUACCCACUCUCAACGCGAGGAGGUAGUGACGAGAAAUAACGAGACCGUUCUCAUACGAGGCCGGUUAUUGGAAUGGGUACAAUUUAAACCCUUUAACGAGUAUCUAUGAGAGGGCAAGUCUGGUGCCAGCAGCCGCGGUAAUUCCAGCUCUCAAAAUGCAUAGAAUUAUUGCUGCGGUUAAAAAGCUCGUAGUUGGAUCUGUGCCGACUGGCCGGUCCCCCUUUUGGGUGCGUACUGGUUCGGUUGGCUUUUCCGCCGGAGUGCCUGGCGUUGGUGUGCUCGCGAGGGUGUGCCAGCGCGGGUCCGGCAAGUUUACUUUGAACAAAUCAGAGUGCUUCAAACAGGCGUCUCGCCUGAAUGUUCGUGCAUGGAAUAAUAGAAGAGGAUUUCGGUCCGAUUUUAUUGGUUUUGCUGACCGAGAUAAUGGUUAACAGAGACAAACGGGGCCAUUCGUAUUGCUGCGUGAGAGGUGAAAUUCUUUGGACCCGUACAAGACGGACUACAGCGAAAGCAUUUGGCAAGAAUGUCUUUCUUAAUUCAAAGAACGAAAGUCANAGGUUCGAAGGCGAUCAAAUCCCCCCCAGUUUUGNCCCGUAAACCAAUCCCACUAGCGAUNCCCCGGCGGAUNAUUCCCCCCUGUGGGGGAGCUUCCCGGAAACAAAAAUUUUCCGGUUCCGGGGGAAGUNUGGUUGNAAAGCUUUAAACU
This 719-nucleotide ribosomal RNA is filed under the name nematode environmental sample AGO-2003. RNAcentral's name for it is "bacterial SSU rRNA". It matches the Rfam family "Eukaryotic small subunit ribosomal RNA", at positions 432 to 1144 of the family's 1831-position model. Lineage: Eukaryota; Metazoa; Nematoda. The record is from RNAcentral.